RNAcentral lists this ribosomal RNA (458 nucleotides) under Comamonadaceae bacterium. Its description in RNAcentral is "bacterial SSU rRNA". It matches the Rfam family "Bacterial small subunit ribosomal RNA", at positions 391 to 842 of the family's 1533-position model. The record is from RNAcentral. Lineage: Bacteria; Pseudomonadati; Pseudomonadota; Betaproteobacteria; Burkholderiales; Comamonadaceae.
GCAAUGCCGCGUGCAGGAUGAAGGCCUUCGGGUUGUAAACUGCUUUUGUACGGAACGAAACGGCGAGCUCUAAUACAGUUUGCUAAUGACGGUACCGUAAGAAUAAGCACCGGCUAACUACGUGCCAGCAGCCGCGGUAAUACGUAGGGUGCGAGCGUUAAUCGGAAUUACUGGGCGUAAAGCGUGCGCAGGCGGUGAUGUAAGACAGAUGUGAAAUCCCCGGGCUCAACCUGGGACCUGCAUUUGUGACUGCAUCGCUAGAGUACGGCAGAGGGGGAUGGAAUUCCGCGUGUAGCAGUGAAAUGCGUAGAUAUGCGGAGGAACACCGAUGGCGAAGGCAAUCCCCUGGGCCUGUACUGACGCUCAUGCACGAAAGCGUGGGGAGCAAACAGGAUUAAAUACCCUGGUAGUCCACGCCCUAAACGAUGUCAACUGGUUGUUGGGUCUUCACUGACUCA